AUUGAACGCUGGCGGCAUGCCUUACACAUGCAAGUCGAACGUGAAAGGGGGGCAACCCCCGAGUAGAGUGGCGGACGGGUGAGUAACACAUCGGAACGCACCCAGUAGUGGGGGACAACCUCGAGAAAUCGAGGCUAAUACCGCAUACGACCCACGGGUGAAAGCGGGGGACCGCAAGGCCUCGCGCUAUUGGAGCGGCCGAUGUCCGAUUAGCUUGUUGGCGGGGUAAGAGCCCACCAAGGCGACGAUCGGUAGCUGGUCUGAGAGGAUGAUCAGCCACACUGGGACUGAGACACGGCCCAGACUCCUACGGGAGGCAGCAGUGGGGAAUUUUGGACAAGUGGGGGCAACCCUGAUCCAGCCAUGCCGCGUGCGGGAAGAAGGCCUGGUGUAACG
Molecule: ribosomal RNA, 396 nt
Filed under: uncultured bacterium
Lineage: Bacteria
Description: bacterial SSU rRNA
Rfam family: Bacterial small subunit ribosomal RNA
Source: RNAcentral